This 253-nucleotide ribosomal RNA is filed under the name uncultured bacterium. Its description in RNAcentral is "partial 16S ribosomal RNA". It matches the Rfam family "Bacterial small subunit ribosomal RNA", at positions 524 to 776 of the family's 1533-position model. The record is from RNAcentral.
UACGUAGGGUGCGAGCGUUAAUCGGAAUUACUGGGCGUAAAGCGUGCGCAGGCGGUUCGUCGUGUCCGAUGUGAAAGCCCCGGGCUCAACCUGGGAAUGGCAUUGGAAACUGGCGGACUCGAGUGUGGCAGAGGGGGGUGGAAUUCCGCGUGUAGCAGUGGAAUGCGCAGAUAUCAGGAAGAACACCCGUGGCGAAGGCGGCUCUCUGGGACGGUACUGACGCUGAGACGCGAAAGCGUGGGGAGCGAACAGG